Molecule: ribosomal RNA, 253 nt
Filed under: uncultured bacterium
Lineage: Bacteria
Description: partial 16S ribosomal RNA
Rfam family: Bacterial small subunit ribosomal RNA
Source: RNAcentral
GACGAACCGAGCGAACGUUGUUCGGAAUCACUGGGCUUAAAGGGCGCGUAGGCGGGUGCUCAAGUCCGUGGUGAAAUCCUCCGGCUCAACCGGAGAACUGCCUCGGAUACUGGGCGUCUCGAGUGUGGUAGGGGUAUGCGGAACUAUCGGUGGAGCGGUGAAAUGCGUUGAUAUCGAUAGGAACUCCGGUGGCGAAGGCGGCAUACUGGACCAACACUGACGCUGAGGAGCGAAAGCCAGGGGAGCAAACGGG